Long non-coding RNA from Amphiprion ocellaris (clown anemonefish), 1901 nucleotides. The record is from Ensembl. NCBI's taxonomy places the organism in Eukaryota, Metazoa, Chordata, Actinopteri, Pomacentridae.
GUGGUCAUCAGCAAGUGUGGAGCCAAACAGAGUACGGUGCAUAGACUGUUUUUUUUUCUCGUUAGUUUUCAUGGCUAAAAUGAGAGAUCAGGUGGCUGAUCUUAAAAUAAAUCAAUACUGAAUUUUUUAUAGAGCGUUAAAGUUUUGCGAAGCCAGGGGGCGGGGCUACUUGAUUGACAGUCUGGUCUGGAAUGAUUGACAGGUCCUAUGGAGGAGGCAGCAGAGACUCUGCUCGCCUGGUUUGGAUUAAUUCUGAUAUAAUAACUGUUGGUUUAUUUAUCGGUGGAGCAGCAGAACAUUUUCCACAGACAGUUUUCCUGCCCGUUGGCUUGUUUUAACUAGUUUUCUGCCUUCGGCUGAUUCUACCAGCAGACACUGAAAGGACUCUGAUAGUUUGGUGUCUCAUAUUCACUGUGAGGAUCUUCUGAGUGAAGCCAGCAGAAGGAAAACCUCAUCUGGAUGUGAAGAAGGAGACUGAAUGGACGACAUCCUCAGUGAACCACUUGUUUUCAGUUCAGUAAUUCAGUCCUUCGGCUGAUUUGACCAACAGACACUGAAGGACUCCGAGAGCAGAGUGAAAGUAACAGUUCCUCCUGAAGGUCAGAGGUUGCAGCAUCUGAGGGCCUCUUCAAAAGAAGACGUAGUUGAUGAAGGCGUUCUGGAGCAGGACCAGAAAGACCACGACCAAGCAGCCUUGAGAUCUUAGGCAGCGUCUCCCUCAGGUCCCUCUCUAUCUCCCCACACAUCUCCAAAGUUCUGCUGGGCCAGCUCAGCUUCCCCUCAGAAGAAGUGCCGCCACCUGCCAGAUGAAGGAGCCUUUUGAGAGGCAGCUGGCAUCGUGAUUGGACUGUACUUUGGUCUGUUCCAAUCCAGCUUCAGCUCCAGAGACGGCAGGCGGGACGAGUCAACGGAGGCUGGAUGGACGAAGACCAAAGAACUACAGACUCUUCACAACCUGCUUAAACUCUUGGUACAGGACCUCACCACACGGGUCAAGAAGGUUUCUGUCUCAUUUCUACUCUGAAGCUCACCUUCUCCUGCUCAAACUGCUGACAAAUGUUUCUGCUGCUCUAAAGUCUGGUCUCCAGAACUUCCUAAAAACUCUCAAAGUCUCUUCUGCUGCAGGUUGCUUUGUAGAACUGUUGCAGAAAACCUCACUAAACCACAUGGAGGGGGCUCAAGAUAGUCGUCCAAAUGAAACAGUACAAAAACCAAACUAGCACAACCCAAACGCUAAAGUCUCCUGCAGCCUACCAGAGAACCUCUGAGAACAGAGAAUCAGGACAGGAACUCUUACCUUCUGGACAACCAACGCUGGUUCUCAAACAAGAAUACAGAAUGUGUCUGACCAAAAACCUCUGAAGACUCACUACAGCCAAGACAAAGACACAACUCAGCUGCACCAAAUCCACUAAUCACUGCACACAUUAGCACCAUGUGCUAACUGUGGCUAAAGAACCACAUUUACCAAGACAACUAUCCAGUACAAAGCCCUAAAACACACCAAGAAACACAUUAAAGACGAUUUUACUGCUGGAAGCUGCAAGCCAACGUCUAAAGAACAAACUAAAGCAAUGGAGCCAAACCCGGUUCAGUGGUGAAGAGAAGCAGAGGAAAUGUUUGUCUGCAGCUAAAUAAAGCAGGAAGACACUGAGCUGCUCAGGUGUUCCUGAUAACACCAAGCAGCCACCUGGACAGCCAAUAGGAACACAGCUUACUGGAAGUCCAGAGGGCUGGGUUAGUGAAGGAAAUUUAGUUUAAAGUUGAAGCAGAAAGUUAACAAAGAAAGUUGAAAACCACCUUCUGAUACCUGAAAUCUCUGAGUUUUUACACAAAGAACGCCUGAACAUGUCAAACUGGUUCCAUAGUAGAACCCUCAUUGUAAAAACGUCAUAGUAUGG